UACGUAGGUGACCAGCGUUGUCCGGAUUUACUGGGCGUAAAGAGCGCGCAGGCGGUCGUUCAAGUCGAGUGUGAAAGCCCCCGGCUCAACUGGGGAGGGUCACUUGAUACUGAUCGACUCGAAGGCAGGAGAGGGAAGCGGAAUUCCCGGUGUAGUGGUGAAAUGCGUAGAUAUCGGAAGGAACACCAGUGGCGAAGGCAGUUCUCUGGGACGGUACUGACGCUGAGACGCGAAAGCGUGGGGAGCGAACAGG
This 253-nucleotide ribosomal RNA is filed under the name uncultured bacterium. RNAcentral's name for it is "partial 16S ribosomal RNA". It matches the Rfam family "Bacterial small subunit ribosomal RNA", at positions 524 to 776 of the family's 1533-position model. The record is from RNAcentral.